RNAcentral lists this ribosomal RNA (497 nucleotides) under uncultured bacterium. Its description in RNAcentral is "partial 16S ribosomal RNA". It matches the Rfam family "Bacterial small subunit ribosomal RNA", at positions 28 to 507 of the family's 1533-position model. The record is from RNAcentral.
GACGAACGCUGGCGGCGUGCCUAAUACAUGCAAGUUGAGCGCUGAAGGUUGGUACUUGUACCAACUGGAUGAGCAGCGAACGGGUGAGUAACGCGUGGGUAAUCUGCCUUUGAGCGGGGGACAACAUUUGGAAACGAAUGCUAAUACCGCAUAAAAACUUUAAACACAAGUUUUAAGUUUGAAAGAUGCAAUUGCAUCACUCAAAGAUGAUCCCGCGUUGUAUUAGCUAGUUGGUGAGGUAAAGGCUCACCAAGGCGAUGAUACAUAGCCGACCUGAGAGGGUGAUCGGCCACAUUGGGACUGAGACACGGACCAAACUCCUACGGGAGGCAGCAGUAGGGAAUCUUCGGCAAUGGACGAAAGUCUGAACGAGAAACGCCGCGGGAGUGAAGAAGGUUUUCGGAUCGUAAAACUCUGUUGGUAGAGAAGAACGUUGGUGAGAGUGGAAAGCUCAUCAAGUGACGGUAACUACCCAGAAAGGGACGGCUAACUACGUG